AACGAACGCUGGCGGCAUGCCUAACACAUGCAAGUCGAACGAGACCUUCGGGUCUAGUGGCGCACGGGUGCGUAACGCGUGGGAACCUGCCCUUAGGUUCGGAAUAACUCCCCGAAAGGGGUGCUAAUACCGGAUAAUGUCUUCGGACCAAAGAUUUAUCGCCUUUGGAUGGGCCCGCGUUGGAUUAGCUAGUUGGUAGGGUAAAAGCCUACCAAGGCGACGAUCCAUAGCUGGUCUGAGAGGAUGAUCAGCCACACUGGGACUGAGACACGGCCCAGACUCCUACGGGAGGCAGCAGUGGGGAAUAUUGGACAAGGGGCGAAAGCCUGAUCCAGCAAUGCCGCGUGAGUGAUGAAGGCCUUAGGGUUGUAAAGCUCUUUUACCCGGGAUGAUAAUGACAGUACCAGGAGAAUAAGCUCCGGCUAACUCCGUG
RNAcentral lists this ribosomal RNA (433 nucleotides) under uncultured bacterium. RNAcentral describes it as "partial 16S ribosomal RNA". It matches the Rfam family "Bacterial small subunit ribosomal RNA", at positions 29 to 507 of the family's 1533-position model. The record is from RNAcentral.